Molecule: non-coding RNA, 708 nt
Organism: Phasianus colchicus (ring-necked pheasant)
Lineage: Eukaryota; Metazoa; Chordata; Aves; Galliformes; Phasianidae
Source: RefSeq, a predicted model, not a curated record
UGGUCUGGCUGUCUGAGUAGAGCAGCAGCGGGUGGUAGAGGAGCUGGUUUUGACAUUGUUUCUCUUAUGGUGUUCUGAAUUCCAGCAGUUGUCUGGGUGUUACAAACCAAUGGUGGCCUUCUUGAAAGGGAGGCUUUUCUUAAAGUAGUGAGAAAGUGUUUAUUGAUAGUUCUAAUUUGACUUGCUGGGUCUGUUUAAUGGGGGACAUGUUUGACAUGUUUUCUUUCUUGUUCUACGUGGACUGCAAGAUCAAGUUACUAGUAACCUUUUUUCUUAUGUGUAUGCAUGGGGAAAACCAGCGUUCUGUGGAGCUGAAUCCAAUGCAGAAAGAUCUUGUACUGAAGAUUGCAGAGUUACUAUGCAGCUGAUGGAAGAGCAGAGUACUGGGUUGAGAAAGCUGCCAGGCUCUUCCCUGGGAAUCCUGCUGCUUACAGAUUGAAGGAGCAGUUACUGGAGCGUAAAGGCGAAGAUGGCUGGAAUCAGCUCUUUGAUAUGACUCAAACCGAGCUCUAUGCGAGACCAGACGAUCCCUACCUUAACAUCAGACUGGUUGCUCUCUACCGUUCAAAUAAUAGAUUAAGAGAUGCUGUGCUUCAUUGUCAGGAGGCGGAGAAGAAAAUAGCUGUAGACUCCAGCUUGGAGUGGUGUUUGUGCGUCAUAAAGACAUUUGAGGAAUAUCUUGAAUCAGUACGAGACUUGGAGGCUGAU